CCUACGGGAGACAGCAGUGAGGAAUAUUGGUCAAUGGGCGCGAGCCUGAACCAGCCAAGUCGCGUGAGGGAAGACGGUCCUAUGGAUUGUAAACCUCUUUUGUCGGGGAGCAAAAGACGCCACGUGUGGCGUUCCGAGAGUACCCGAAGAAAAAGCAUCGGCUAACUCCGUGCCAGCAGCCGCGGUAAUACGGAGGAUGCGAGCGUUAUCCGGAUUUAUUGGGUUUAAAGGGUGCGCAGGCGGAAGAUUAAGUCAGCGGUAAAAUUGCGGGGCUCAACCUCGUCGAGCCGUUGAAACUGGUUGUCUUGAGUGAGCGAGAAGUAUGCGGAAUGCGUGGUGUAGCGGUGAAAUGCAUAGAUAUCACGCAGAACUCCGAUUGCGAAGGCAGCAUACCGGCGCUCAACUGACGCUGAUGCACGAAAGCGUGGGUAUCGAACAGGAUUAGAUACCCGUGUAGUC
RNAcentral lists this ribosomal RNA (459 nucleotides) under uncultured bacterium. RNAcentral's name for it is "partial 16S ribosomal RNA". It matches the Rfam family "Bacterial small subunit ribosomal RNA", at positions 338 to 795 of the family's 1533-position model. The record is from RNAcentral.